UCGCAGAUAUAUACAUAGAUAUAUAUCUUUAUAUAUAUAUAUGAAAGCAAGUAAAAGGAGAGAUAUUCGAUCCAUGCUCAACUAUUCAGUUCAAGUCUCUCUCUCUCUCCCUCUCUCUUUCUCUCUCUCUAUAUAUAUAUAUAUUAAAGCAAGAGAAAGCUUCAAAUCUGAAAAAAUCUUACAGUGUGCUACAAAGAAGGCUUCAGACCGCUUUUGGAGCUUGAAAACUCAGUUUCCACUAGUUAAAAUGUGAUAUGUCGUAGUAUAUAUGUAUACAAGUGUUUAGAAAGAAGAAUAUGGAAGUUUGGAACACUAUAGGAGGGGUUUAAGAGCUGAAAUGGAUAAAUUUUUCUGUCUUUCUCUCCAUUUUUUCAUUUUUCUUUUUGGCUGAUGGGGCGUCUUAUUUAUAGACCAAAGCAGUCGUGGGUCUACUUAAAGAUGCCUGGGUGGGCCCGGGUCCCAUUGUCUUGAAGUACAG
This 478-nucleotide long non-coding RNA is filed under the name Panax ginseng (ginseng). Its description in RNAcentral is "long non-coding RNA (PGIN_LNC002810)". Lineage: Eukaryota; Viridiplantae; Streptophyta; Magnoliopsida; Apiales; Araliaceae. The record is from RNAcentral.